This 462-nucleotide ribosomal RNA is filed under the name uncultured bacterium. RNAcentral's name for it is "partial 16S ribosomal RNA". It matches the Rfam family "Bacterial small subunit ribosomal RNA", at positions 28 to 507 of the family's 1533-position model. The record is from RNAcentral.
GACGAACGCUGGCGGCGUGCUUAACACAUGUAAGUCGAGCGGAAAGGCCCUUCGGGGUACUCGAGCGGCGAACGGGUGAGUAACACGUGAGUAACCUGCCCCAGACUUUGGGAUAACCCUCGGAAACGGGGGCUAAUACCGGAUACGACACAGCUUCGCAUGGGGUCUGUGUGGAAAGUUUUUCGGUUUGGGAUGGGCUCGCGGCCUAUCAGCUUGUUGGUGGGGUGAUGGCCUACCAAGGCGACGACGGGUAGCCGGCCUGAGAGGGCGACCGGCCACACUGGGACUGAGACACGGCCCAGACUCCUACGGGAGGCAGCAGUGGGGAAUAUUGCACAAUGGGCGGAAGCCUGAUGCAGCGACGCCGCGUGAGGGAUGACGGCCUUCGGGUUGUAAACCUCUUUCAGCAGGGACGAAGCGUAAGUGACGGUACCUGCAGAAGAAGCGCCGGCCAACUACGUG